RNAcentral lists this ribosomal RNA (545 nucleotides) under Bifidobacterium breve. RNAcentral describes it as "bacterial SSU rRNA". It matches the Rfam family "Bacterial small subunit ribosomal RNA", at positions 157 to 711 of the family's 1533-position model. Lineage: Bacteria; Bacillati; Actinomycetota; Actinomycetes; Bifidobacteriales; Bifidobacteriaceae. The record is from RNAcentral.
CGGGUGGUAAUGCCGGAUGCUCCAUCACACUGCAUGGUGUGUUGGGAAAGCCUUUGCGGCAUGGGAUGGGGUCGCGUCCUAUCAGCUUGAUGGCGGGGUAACGGCCCACCAUGGCUUCGACGGGUAGCCGGCCUGAGAGGGCGACCGGCCACAUUGGGACUGAGAUACGGCCCAGACUCCUACGGGAGGCAGCAGUGGGGAAUAUUGCACAAUGGGCGCAAGCCUGAUGCAGCGACGCCGCGUGAGGGAUGGAGGCCUUCGGGUUGUAAACCUCUUUUGUUAGGGAGCAAGGCAUUUUGUGUUGAGUGUACCUUUCGAAUAAGCACCGGCUAACUACGUGCCAGCAGCCGCGGUAAUACGUAGGGUGCAAGCGUUAUCCGGAAUUAUUGGGCGUAAAGGGCUCGUAGGCGGUUCGUCGCGUCCGGUGUGAAAGUCCAUCGCUUAACGGUGGAUCCGCGCCGGGUACGGGCGGGCUUGAGUGCGGUAGGGGAGACUGGAAUUCCCGGUGUAACGGUGGAAUGUGUAGAUAUCGGGAAAGAACACCA